RNAcentral lists this non-coding RNA (197 nucleotides) under Peptococcaceae bacterium. Lineage: Bacteria; Bacillati; Bacillota; Clostridia; Eubacteriales; Peptococcaceae. The record is from RNAcentral.
AACUUAAUAGCCAUUCUAGGUUUCCCCGAUUUUUAUAGCGGGGGUGAAAAGGGAACCGGGUGCAAGUCCCGGACGGUCCGGCCACUGUAUGUGGGGAGCGGCUCCCAUAGUUGCCACUGGGUAUGUAAAGACCCGGGAAGGCGGGAGAUGCGCUGUGAACCACGAGUCAGGAGACCUGCCUAGAAAAUUGGCAUGAA